UAUUAAAUGUCGAUCUAUAGGCGAUGAUUAGCGCGCGUAUUCGCCUUGUGCAGCCGCCGCGUUAAUUCCAUCGUGCCGAGAGCGUAUAUUAAAGUUGCAGUUAAAAGAGAUCCAUUGAUGAAGGUUGGGCCUGGCUGGCCGGUCCGCCUCACCGCGUGUACUGGUCCGGCCGGGCCUUUCCUUCUGGGGAACCUCAUGCCCUUCACUGGGCGUGUUGGGGAACCAGGACUUUUACUUUGAAAAAAUUAGAGUGUUCAAAGCAGGCCUUUGCUCGAAUACAUUAGCAUGGAAUAAUAGAAUAGGACGUGUGGUUCUAUUUUGUUGGUUUCUAGGACCGCCGUAAUGAUUAAUAGGGAUAGUCGGGGGCAUCAGUAUUCAAUCGUCAGAGGUGAAAUUCUUGGAUUGAUUGAAGACUAACUACUGCGAAAGCAUUUGCCAAGGAUGUUUUCAUUAAUCAGUGAACGAAAGUUAGGGGAUCGAAGACGAUCAGAUACCGUCGUAGUCUUAACCAUAAACUAUGCCGACUAGGGAUCGGACGGUGUUAGUAUUUUGACCCGUUCGGCCACCUUACGAGAAAUCAAAGUUUUUGGGUUCUGGGGGGAGUAUGGUCGCAAGGCUGAAACUUAAAGAAAUUGACGGAAGGGCACCACCCAGGCGUGGAGCCUGCCGCUUAAUUUGACUCAACACGGGGAAACUCACCAGGUCAAGACACAUUAAGGAUUGACAAAUUGAGAGCCCCUUCCUUGAUUUGGUGGGUGGGGGGGGCAUGGGCGGUCCUUAAGUUGGUCGGGAGUGAUUUGUCCUGCUUUAAUUGCGAU
RNAcentral lists this ribosomal RNA (818 nucleotides) under uncultured fungus. RNAcentral describes it as "bacterial SSU rRNA". It matches the Rfam family "Eukaryotic small subunit ribosomal RNA", at positions 523 to 1329 of the family's 1831-position model. Lineage: Eukaryota; Fungi. The record is from RNAcentral.